This 850-nucleotide long non-coding RNA is filed under the name Homo sapiens (human). RNAcentral describes it as "HSALNT0240438". The record is from RNAcentral. Lineage: Eukaryota; Metazoa; Chordata; Mammalia; Primates; Hominidae.
GAGAAAGAGCUUGCCGGGGGGCGAGCAGGACAGGACGAAGCCGGAGUGUAGGCGGCAGAGGAUUCGCUCCCAGAGCAGCUGCGGCCAGGUAUAUGAAUGACCUAAAGGUACAAAUAAAGACGGAGAGAGAACAGUGCCAACUGGGAGCAGGGCAAGAAUGCCAAUUCCUCCUCCCCCGCCACCCCCACCUGGUCCUCCUCCACCUCCCACAUUUCAUCAGGCACAUUCUCGCCCUGUUGCCCAGGCUGCAGUGCAGUGGUGUGAUCUCGGCUCACUGCAACCUCCACCUCCUGGGUUCAAGCGAUUCUCCUGUCUCAGCCUCCUGAGUAGCUGGGAUACAGCAUGUGCCACCAUGCCUAGCUAAGUUUUUGUAUUUUUAGUAGAGAUGGGGUUUCACCAUGUUGGCCAGGAUGGUCUGGAACUCCUGACUUCAAGUGAUCCACCUGCCUUGGCCUCCCAAAGUGUUGGGAUUACAGGCGUGAGCCACCGCACCCGGCCGAUAAAGGGAACUCUUUAGGGUGAACUUAUAUUUCUCUUAUCCUCCAGGCAAACACAGAGCAGCCCAAGCUGAGUAGAGAUGAGCAGCGGGGUCGAGGCGCCCUCUUACAGGACAUUUGCAAAGGGACCAAGCUGAAGAAGGUGACCAACAUUAAUGAUCGGAGUGCUCCCAUCCUCGAGAGUGAGUCCGAGCUUCAUUUCCUAGUGAACUGGCAGGAUCCCAGGAGUGACUUGGAGACUUGGCUGGGUUCUUAUUUUUAUUGGGCCUUGAGUGGGAGAGUUUUGUCCUGGGAUGUGCUUUGGCUCUCUUCUUAUUCAUUCUUCUGAACCUUAGAAGUUUCUUCUUGACUCU